GACUAACGCUGGCGGCGUGCCCAAUACAUGCAAGUCGAACGGGAUUCUUUGAUCAGCUUGCUGAGAGAAGGAUCUAGUGGCGGACGGGUGAGUAACGCGUGGGAAUCUGCCUCUUACUGGGGGAUAACAGUGGGAAACUACUGCUAAUACCGCAUAAGAUCUUCGGAUGAAAGGUGCAACUGCACCGGUAAGAGAUGAGCCCGCGUCCCAUUAGCUAGUUGGUGAGGUAAAGGCUCACCAAGGCGACGAUGGGUAGCCGGCCUGAGAGGGUGAACGGCCACACUGGGACUGAGACACGGCCCAGACUCCUACGGGAGGCAGCAGUAGGGAAUCUUCCGCAAUGGGCGCAAGCCUGACGGAGCGACGCCGCGUGAGUGAUGAAGGCCUUCGGGUCGUAAAGCUCUGUUCUUGAGGACGAAUAAGCCGAGGGAGUGGAAAGCCCGUGGUGAUGACUGUACUCGAAGGAGAAGCUCCGGCUAACGUACGUGCC
Molecule: ribosomal RNA, 490 nt
Filed under: uncultured bacterium
Lineage: Bacteria
Description: bacterial SSU rRNA
Rfam family: Bacterial small subunit ribosomal RNA
Source: RNAcentral